ACAGCAGUAGCCACGGGAAUACGGAGGGUGCAAGCGUUAAUCGGAAUUACUGGGCGUAAAGCGUGCGUAGGCGGUGAGUUAAGUCUGCUGUGAAAUCCCCGGGCUCAACCUGGGAAUGGCAGUGGAUACUGGCUCGCUAGAGUGUGUCAGAGGAUGGUGGAAUUCCCGGUGUAGCGGUGAAAUGCGUAGAGAUCGGGAGGAACAUCAGUGGCGAAGGCGGCCAUCUGGGACAACACUGACGCUGAGGCACGAAAGCGUGGGGAGCAAACAGGAUUAGAUACCCCCGUAGUCCCUGUCUCUUAUAC
This 305-nucleotide ribosomal RNA is filed under the name uncultured bacterium. RNAcentral describes it as "partial 16S ribosomal RNA". It matches the Rfam family "Bacterial small subunit ribosomal RNA", at positions 505 to 807 of the family's 1533-position model. The record is from RNAcentral.